RNAcentral lists this long non-coding RNA (268 nucleotides) under Lathyrus oleraceus (garden pea). RNAcentral's name for it is "Pisum sativum (pea) long non-coding RNA (PSAT_LNC012615)". The record is from RNAcentral. Lineage: Eukaryota; Viridiplantae; Streptophyta; Magnoliopsida; Fabales; Fabaceae.
GCAGAGCAAGAGAAGAGGAAAAGCUUGAAGCUGCAGAAUUUGCCGGAUUAACUCAGGUAAGGGGGGUUAUCGUUGAUUAACGGGUAUUAUAUGAUAAUAUGUCAUGGGUAGUGAUGGACCUUUAAUUUACCUCUGAAUUGGAUGAUUAUGAUGAAUUGUGAAUCUUUUUGGAUGAACGAAAUUGGAAUAGAAUGGAGAGGAAUUCGUAGGAAUUUGAUGUAAACGUGUUAGGUUUUGUGUAAUCGAAUAAGAUAUGAAUGGUGUUGAG